UAAGGCAAUGUAGGCGGAAUACCUGUAGAGUGUUCAGUUUUAUGAAAAGCUUUGACUAAAAAUUAUACAUAUUAUGCAAAAUGCUACAGCAACAUAAGGUUAAGGUAGAAACUGUUCAACUCCUCCACAUGCAAUUUAGAGUUCUAACAGUACCCAGCAACCAAGCUUCACACCUGAAGAAGUAGUCAUUGCUUUCAUUCUCUGUUGACUGAUGUGUGAGUGAAACGUCUGCCCAUCAGCUCUGCCAAGCAUUCUGAGGCACUCUUAGAUCUUUUCUAAGCAGCUCUGAAACACGAAUUCCUGCAAAGAAUUACAAAUUACAGCAGAAUUCCAAAUCUCCACGUGGCACAGUUACUCAUCACAGCACAACAAAUCAACAUUACAGACACUUCUGGCUUUCUGAAAUUUAUAUCUGCUGGGUAAAAGAUGGAAAAUAAGGUGCUGGUCAAAGAAACUGCCAGUUGGCCAAGAAUAAGUGUGAAACCAAAGUGAGCAGCUGUGUUUUGUUGGCCACCACUGCUUAUAUUUCUCAGGAGGUGUGGGCAGCAACCAGUAAAGGGGAGACUGCUGUGUGGUCCAACAUGUCAAAGGAUAACAUCUCAAGGUUUCCAGACACAGUUUUAGCAUGAAGGAUGAUGCAGAGCUUUAGUUUUCUUUAUUUUCAUUGACUUGAAAUAAAUAUGAACCCCUAACUGUAGUUU
Molecule: long non-coding RNA, 701 nt
Organism: Ochotona princeps (American pika)
Lineage: Eukaryota; Metazoa; Chordata; Mammalia; Lagomorpha; Ochotonidae
Exons: 3
Source: RefSeq, a predicted model, not a curated record